AACGAACGCUGGCGGCGUGGUUUAGGCAUGCAAGUCGAGCGAGAAAGUCCUUCGGGACGAGUACAGCGGCGAAAGGGUGAGUAAUAUAUAGGUAACCUACCUCUUGGACUCGGAUAAUUCCUGGAAACGGGUUGUAAUACGAGAUCGUCCUAUUGGGUCGCAUGGCCCGACUGGUAAAUGGUAGCUCUGCUUCUGCCGAGAGAGGGGCCUAUAUCCUAUUAGCUAGUUGGUGAGGUAAUGGCUCACCAAGGCUUUGAUGGGUAGCCGGACUGAGAGGUUGGCCGGUCACACUGGGACUGAGACACUGCCCAGACUCCUACGGGAGGCUGCAGUCGAGAAUCUUCCGCAAUGGGCGAAAGCCUGACGGGGCGACGCCGCGUGAACGAAGAAGGCCUUCGGUUGU
RNAcentral lists this ribosomal RNA (403 nucleotides) under uncultured bacterium. RNAcentral describes it as "bacterial SSU rRNA". It matches the Rfam family "Bacterial small subunit ribosomal RNA", at positions 29 to 426 of the family's 1533-position model. The record is from RNAcentral.